UACCUAAUACCAGUUUCUGUGGGCCUAACUCGGGCGGGUGGCUGGUGAAAAGCUCACAUGUGGCAGUGGGGCUCAGUGGCUUUUGGCGGAGAGAUUUAUCGUAACAGCUGUCCAGCAGCCCAGAUCACUCAGAGGCCAUUACAUGACAGAAGGACAGCUUAACCCAGAAACAUGUAAAGCAGCUUCACAGUGAGUUGGUGAGUUAUUAACAGUACUGGAUAAAAAGUGCCACAGUGAUGCUCCCACAAGGAUUUAAUGUACUUAACUGCACUGACCUGCAUACUAAAAACCACUGAAGUAUAAACUUCAGUGUAUAUCUUAUCUCCAUAAGGGAGAAUAUAGUGGGGGGAUCAAAAGACCCACACACACCUCUCUGUUCUCCUGCCACGUAACUACUGUUAGCAAGCCAUAAUGUGCAUUUCCUGAAUAAAGAACUUAUUACUGAGUAACUGUCCAAAUAUGUUUGCGAUACUCAUUACAUCUGCAUUUCUUCCAAAAUACUUAAGAGUUUGUGACCUCAGCAUGAGAAAGAUAGCACCGGGAGAAUUAUGCUAUUGUGAGUCACUCCCAAAUCUCUGCACCACACACCCUCUCCCAGCAUUGCAGGUGUGAGUGACAUGCAGCGUUGCCACUCUUGCUGCCAGAAGUUACUGAGAAUCUAGUACUUGGUAGAUACUAUGUGAGUUCUCCAUGACAACACUGAGCCAAACAAACAUGGCUCCCACCUUCAUGAACCAAGAGUCUUUCACAGACAGAAAGAGUCAAAUAACUGAGUACAAAUGUUAAGAGAAGACUGAGCAGUGCUGGGACACUGAACAUGGUACUACCAAGAGGCCUUUGGAUUACGCUGGGGUACCAGUGAGUAUGUGGCAGGUCAGUCUCGGGAGACCUGAAGGAGUAGGGUUAGCAAGCAGAGAUGCAGAUGUCAUGUGGAGAGGAACACUCACAGAGGGGAAUCAGCUUUGGAAAGGGCCAUGUGCCUGGUGCAGUGUAGACUGAAAUGGGACUAAAGAGGGAAGGACACAUCCUAUGUGCUUUGCAUCAAGCUGGUUGCUUUCCAAGGGAAUGUGGAGUGAUGGCCUCUAGCAAGAGACUACUUUUUCCAGGACUCCAGACAUCACAGUUUAAAAGAGCUUGAAACCCUGAGAAACUUCUCCUAUUGCAUUUAUGUGGUGACAUUUGGCCAACAGAUAUUAAGGACAUGGAGUAAGCAAGGCAUUAUAGUACUGCAAAGUCCCUCGGCUGGAGGUACCAUCUGGUACACUUGAGCCAGAAGGAACAACCUGGCACGUGGGUAAGCAGCUCACUGAUGCUUGUUCUACCAGCCUGGCAGCCUGGCUAAAAAAAAAUGAGCACUCCUAUUGAAGCAGAGGGGAGAUGUGCAGAAAUGAGCAUGAAGGGAACCAGAUUUUUACUCCACCCACAUUUAAAUUCAUAUCCUCUGAAUAAAAAUCUGGUACUCUGUCCUAUUCAAAUUUGGAACUACUAGAACCUGGCUAAGGAGAUGUAGGUCAUGGCACACACUGGUACCUUCCCCAGGUGGAGUCCCCUAUCAUUAGUAUAGUUAUUGCUUCUCCACCCAUCCCCAGCCUUUAGAAAGACUUGGCAGGUAGGAGAGGACACUCGCUAGGCAGGUCAUAAAAAUGUCUGUCCAAAUAAACCAGCAUUCCCCAAUAACCCACAGACCACCCCCAGGCAAAUGCUGCCCUCUUUCCUGUGACAUGUGGAUGAACUAGCGUAUGAAAUGACCUUGAAAUUUGUUUUGUGCAAGUAUUAACAUGUGUAUAUAACAAUGUAUGUAUAACUAAGGUUAUAUACAUGUGCAUUUCGGAAAUGAAAAAGAAGGCAUCGACAAAGAAUGCUUCCCCCAGCACCCAGAGUGUUGUGGGAUGAUCUAGAGAAGUUUCUUUAGUAUGACCUUCAGCUGGGCAAAGAUCCAACCACUGGAAAGUCAACCUAGAGCAACUGAAGGCAUGUUCUGAGCAUCUGCUGGCACUCCAAGAAAACAGAAAGUGAAAAGUUAUGAGCGUGUGUACUCUUGUCCUUGGCCAUUCCAAGGAUUGUUAACCUCAGACCUGCAGUCUGUCCAAGGAAAUAUUCUUUUCAGUGUAUACGCUUAGAAGGAGAAAUGAAGGGGUGUAAAGGGGGCAAAAGAGGAAGGGGAGGAAGACAGGAGGAGGUGGCUCCUGCCAUUUUAACAUUUGAAAAAUAUUAAACCAACAUAUACCAACUAAUACACAAGGUUCCGGAGCCUGAAUCCCCAUCUUUGCAUUUGCUACGCUCCACUCUGUUUCCACUUCCCGACAGCAGCCUGAUUUCCACCUGGGUAUCCAUUUUCUCAGUAUCCAUUUACUGUGCCCAUGCAUUGUCAGUAAAUCUGAGCCUGCCUCCAGCUAGAGGAUCUAAAAGCACUCCGGACUGUAAGCCUUCCUCUGGGUCCUGCCAAGUGAAGGUCCAGGCACAUGACUUAACUUCAAGAAGCAAACCUACGUUCCAAGACUUUGACUUCUGAACCUAAUAAAACACUGACGUGCGAGGCAAAGUUCGUGUACUCCAGCCAAGCAUGUUGAAAUAGAAAGAGGCUAUCUGCCUUCUUCCAGGCAAACUGAAUAAAAUGUCCUGCUUUAGUGGCCAGAAUCUGUUUUUCCUUGAAACCAAAGUAUAUUAGUAAAUAUUUAGUGCCUUCAGAGAAAAAAAUGAAGGUAUUUACAAUUGGUAAUCUUGCCAUAAACAGAGUAAACUACACAACAUUGUGGAAGGAGACCCUAGUUACCUAUAGCUUAUGCUGAAGAAACAAGGAUCCAGCUAAUAGUCACCAUAAUAUCUCACUCUAAACAAACAGAUCUUAAUUCCUCCUUUGCCUGGAGCUGACUGACUUGUUUUAUACCUAGUCUUCUUUACCAUUUUAUCGUUAAAUGAAAUGUUACUAUAAUGGUCAUUUUGAAAAGAUUUGGGGGCUAGAGAGAUGGCUCAACAGUUAACAACACUGGCUGCUCUUCCAGUAAAAACAAGGUUUGAUUCUCAGAACCCAAAGGCUCACAACCAUCUCGAACCCCAGGGCAUCCAACACCCUCUCCAAGGCCUCCAAGAACACAGCAUACAUGUGUUGUAUAACAGACAUAUAUGUAGGCAAAACACCCAUACAUGUAAGCAGAAUUAAAAAUAAGCUUGGGUGAGUUUGCUGAACCCUAAUCUGAAUUUCCAACUUUUCUGGUAGUAUAUGAGACACAUGUACAGUGAACGUUGUUCUUUGACACAGAUGACCGGAAACAUAACCAAGAAUGACUCACCUUUGUAUGUCCACCCUUCCAGGAACCAAUGAGAACGCCACACACUUCCAAGAGCAGCAUAAAGGCCCACAUAGUGUCACAUGUCUACAAUCACAACACUCCAGGAGUGGCUGUAGGAUAAGGAUUCAAGGCCAGCCUCAGCUAUGUAGCAAGUUCAGGCCAGACUGAGCUAUCUGAAACCCUGUCUCAAAAAUUCCAAAACAAGGGGCUGGAGAGAUGGAUCAGCAAUUAAGAGCCCUUGCUGCUCUUACACAGAUGGUUCACAAUUGCCUGUAAGACUUCUGGCCCCUAAUGACAAACACCCCCCCAACACACACACAGAGGAAUACAUACAUACAUACAUACAUACAUACAUACAUACAUACAUACAUACCAUAAAUAAAAACAAACAAAUCUUUAAAAGCAUUUAAAACAAAACAAAGCAUGGCAACAGAAAGAGAAUAGCCCAAAGGGCAAACGCUGGUGAGCUGAGCUUGGAAAAACUAGAAGAAAAUUUUAAUCUUUUCUCUGUUUUGUAAACAUAGAGUUCCUGCAUGGGACAAUGAAAAAGUUUUAGAAAAGGAAAUGGUGAUGACUGCCCAACAUUAAAAUUCUAUUUAAUGCCUCUAAGAGUUACAUACUAAAAUAUAUUUAAACUGAUAAAUGUUGUAUUUCAUCUACUUUAUCACCAUAAUUUUUAAAACUUUCUGAUGAAAUCUAGAAGCAAUCAGAGUUUGAGAAAACAGUCACACAUUGUGAAAACAUACAUAAGCCACUUCUUUCUGAAAAUAAUUGGGUGGUAUUUAUCUGAAGACUUGCAACAUUGCACCCUUCCUUCCAUUCAUUUCUCUUCUGAGAAAUUUUCUAAUUAAAAAAAAAAAUGUGUGAGAAUGGUCACAAUUCCAGCAUGACUUUGACACUCUGCAGCUGCUCUUGGUUUUGAAGACAGUUGUCACUCUCAAGUCAAGGCUGCCCUGCAACUUGAAAUCGUCCUGCUCCAGCCUGUCAUCUCUCCAUGAGGGACAGCUGUCCUUAGAUUCUCCAUACCCUCUUCACCACUAAAGAAGGGGCACAGAUUCUCAUGAAAACAACUGAAGGUCUCCCUGGAAUAGCUUCAAUGGCUGAUAACCAGAGGGCAGAGGCAAUUGACCAUGCUCUGCCAAGAUGGAGACCCCAAUGGGACUACAACACACAGAGAAGAGGUCACUCAGUGAGUACCACCAGGUUGUGCUAGGAGGGAUGAAACAGGCAGCCUGAAAACCCACUGACCUAUCUAGGGUCACAGAUGUGAAACAGGGCCCAGAUGAAUUGCCUUCAGCUUUCCUGGAGCACCUCCUGGACGCCUAUCAGUUAUAUGCUCCUAUAGACCCAGAGGACCUGGCAAACCUCAAGGUGAUUAACUUGGCCUUUGUUACUCAGUCAGCCCCUGACAUAUGGACAUACAAAAGAUGGAUGGGUUUUCAGGAAAGAACAGGUCAGAACUAUCAGAGAUAGCUCAGAAGGUGUUUGAUGGCAGAGACAGCAACGAUCUUCUGAUAAAGAAGAUGGAGCGUGCCACCGUGGCUGCACUACAAGCACCUGCCUAGGCACCCCAUGAUAAAAAGAGGAAGUAUUUACCAAAGGACCAAUGUGCCUCCUGCAAAGAAAUGGGCCAUUGGAAAAAUGAACGUCCAUGCUGGAAACAGAACUGAGUCAGCCCAUAUUGGCAUUGAAUGGGCUGACCCUGAACUGGGGAUAUCAGGACAACUAACCUGGACCAGACUGCCUCAAGGUUCAAAAACUCUCCCACCAUCUUGGAUGAAGCAUUCAACCAGGAUUUAAAUCUCUUCCAUAGUAAGUGCCUUGAGGAACCUUGCUUCAAUAUGUAGGUGAUUUAUUAUUGACUGCUAUAGAUGAGAAGGACUGUUUGAGAGCCACCAGAGACCUUUUGGAAAUUCUAGCCCAAUUAGACUAUAGAGCUUCUGUUGGAGUCCUGGAGAAGAUCCACAAAAGACCACCUUCCACAUAUGCAAUCAGCAAGAGCAUUUAUUUUCUUGAGAAUAGAAGUACCAACAUGCUGGGGUUGGGCAUCCAACACAAAGGCAAAGAUGGUGCCGGCCCCCAAGAAAAGUUUGGAGGUUCUUUUAUGAACAACUAGAGGAAUUCUAAAAGCAGUGUGAUCACUCAAUCUAUGAUUGGUUUACACAAGUGACAAUCAUAUUAGUAUGUUUCUAAUUGGUUAGGGCUGGCAGGAGUGGGCUAAGGCUAUAGCUUUUCCAUUUUUUUUGGUCAAGUCUAGACAAGUCCCAGGCUUUGUGCUUAAUUGGUUAUCUCCUUGAGGUAAGGAGGGUUACCUCCUUAGUGGGGGUGGAGGGUGGGGAAGUGGCCCUGUCCUGGUAUGUGCAGUUCUUUUCACAGCCUCACUGUCAGGGGCAUUGGUAGUUGAUUGUCCUUUGUUUGUGUCUUCCUCAGAAACUGUCUUGUUGAAUUUCAAGAGGCAGGAACUGAGGCCUAGUUCCUAACUGAGUUAUUAGGGGCCUGCCAUGUUAUCUGCCUGGCCCUCUCAGUUUCUAAAAAGAAAACUCAAAUUUUCUCACCCCAGGUUACUUACUUGGAAUAUGAGCUGAGAGAAAGGAAAAAAGACUGUUGUCCCUCCCACCCCCAUAGCAGCCAUACUGCAAAUCCCAACUCCAAUCACCAAGAAACAAGUUAGGGAAUGUCUGGGAGCUGAUGGAUAUUGCCAUCUUUGAAUACCUGGGAUUGCUGAAAUUGCCAAUCACUCUGCUAUGGCUGCAGCAACAUCCCUUUAGAAUGGACUAAGGAACAUGAACAGGCCUUUAAGAACUUAAAAGAGGCCCUGGUACAGGCCCCCACAUUAACUCUCCCUAAUAUCUCUAGGCCCUUUCUUUACACCCAUAAAAGAAAGGGCAUUCCCAAGGGAGUCCUGACUCAAACCCUGGGUCCCUGGAAAAGGCCGACAGCUUAUAUCUCAAAGAGACUGAAUCCUAUAGUCUUUGGGUGGUUCCCUUGUUUAAGAGUCAUUGCAGCCACUUCGUUUCUUGUAAAAGAAGCUGAGAAGCUCAUGUUGGGACAUAUUUUAACUGUGAUAGCUCCGCAUGCUGUGGAAGCCCUGCUGAGUAUGACCUAGAAGAGAUCAAGUCAUACUCUGACUUGGGAGGUCGGGAGAGCCACAUGGAUAGUGGACCUCACCUGAUGGGAGAAUCGGCAUGCCAAAGGUACUAGGCCAAAGCUGGCUAUUGCCUUGCAUCUUGUCAUGCACUUGUCACCUAGAAAGGUCUCAGAACUUAUGUCACCUCACAUCUGGAUACCUGGACACUGAGAAAAACUUCAGAGCAUUUCAGAUCACUGCCUGACCUGUGCCCAGGUAAAUGCAAAGAAGGACAUGCUUUCCCCAGGCCAACAGGGUCAAGAUACAGUACCCAGUGAAUUUUGGGAAAUGGACCUCACUGAAAUCAAGCUAGGACUGUAUGGACACAAAUACCUGCUGGUCUUUGUUGAAACCUUCAUAGGUUGGGGUAGAGGCCUUUGCAUCCUGAACAGAAACAGCCCAUGUGGUAGCUAAGAACUUGAUAAUUGAAACUAUUCCCAGAUUUGGUCUCUCCAUAUUUCUGGGGUCUGACAAUGACCCAGCCUUCACUGCCAAUUUAUUUCAAUUGCUCUCUAAGGCUCUUAACAUAAGUUAGAAACUUCGUAUGUAUUGUUCUCAGAGCUCAGAAAAUGUAGAGAAUGAAUAGAACUUUAAAGGAGAUUUUUAAACUAAAUAUGCUCUUGAAACUGGUGGCAACUGGGUUGACUCUUGUCUUAUGCCCUUCUCAGAGUCUGAUGUACCCCUACUGAGUAAAGCUGCCCCCAUAUGGGUGACCACUUCCAUGAUCCCUCGGGUACAUGCUGAGCUGUUAUAGGAUUGCCCCACUUCUAUCUCUGAGUCCUUGAAAGGAUGGCAGUUAACUCUGGAUAAGAUUCUCCCUUGGGUCCAGGCUGCUCAGUGUGCUGGGUACCACCCACCCGACCACUGCUCCAGUGCAGAGAUGCUGUGUUAGUCUGCCACUUCAAAACUGACCAGCUUUAGCCUAGAUAGAAAGGACCUUAGACUGUGAUUCUCCUGCUGUUAAAGACGCUGUAUUUCUUCCCGGGUUCAUCACUGACACCUCGAGAAGGCAUCUGAGGAACCCCCGGAAGAGGAGCCCAACCCCCAGUGGUGGAAAGUGAGUGAAAAAGGAUUGGUGAAAAUGAAACUGGCCCACUUUACUGAGCAUAUUAAAUAAAUUCCACAGUAGAGAA
Non-coding RNA from Cricetulus griseus (Chinese hamster), 7550 nucleotides. The record is from RefSeq and is a predicted model, not a curated record. NCBI's taxonomy places the organism in Eukaryota, Metazoa, Chordata, Mammalia, Rodentia, Cricetidae.